UACGUAGGGUGCAAGCGUUAAUCGGAAUUACUGGGCGUAAAGCGUGCGUAGGCGGUUCGUUAUGUCUGCUGUGAAAGCCCCGGGCUUAACCUGGGAAUGGCAGUGGAAACUGGCGGGCUUGAGUGUGGCAGAGGGGGGUGGAAUUCCGCGUGUAGCAGUGAAAUGCGUAGAGAUGCGGAGGAACACCGAUGGCGAAGACAGCCCCCUGGGCUGACACUGACGCUGAGGCACGAAAGCGUGGGGAGCAAACAGG
RNAcentral lists this ribosomal RNA (253 nucleotides) under uncultured bacterium. Its description in RNAcentral is "partial 16S ribosomal RNA". It matches the Rfam family "Bacterial small subunit ribosomal RNA", at positions 524 to 776 of the family's 1533-position model. The record is from RNAcentral.